This 319-nucleotide ribosomal RNA is filed under the name uncultured eukaryote. RNAcentral describes it as "partial 18S ribosomal RNA". It matches the Rfam family "Eukaryotic small subunit ribosomal RNA", at positions 1470 to 1796 of the family's 1831-position model. The record is from RNAcentral.
CCCUUAGAUGUCCUGGGCCGCACGCGUGCUACACUGACGCCUACAGCGAGUACUUCCCAGCCCCGAGAGGUGGCUGGUAAUCAGCAAUAGGCGUCGUGAUGGGGAUAGAUCUUUGGAAUUAUGGAUCUUGAACGAGGAAUGCCUAGUAAGCGCAGGUCAUUAGCCUGCGCUGAUUAAGUCCCUGCCCUUUGUACACACCGCCCGUCGCUCCUACCGAUUUCGAGUGGUCCGGUGAAUCUUUCGGACUGCGCGCGGCCUCGUGCCGUGUCGCGGAAAGUCAGGUAAACCUUAUCACUUAGAGGAAGGAGAAGUCGUAACA